RNAcentral lists this ribosomal RNA (549 nucleotides) under Anaplasma platys. RNAcentral's name for it is "bacterial SSU rRNA". It matches the Rfam family "Bacterial small subunit ribosomal RNA", at positions 62 to 637 of the family's 1533-position model. The record is from RNAcentral. Lineage: Bacteria; Pseudomonadati; Pseudomonadota; Alphaproteobacteria; Rickettsiales; Anaplasmataceae.
UUUAACGGAUUUAUCUUUAUAGCUUGCUAUGAUAAAAAUUAGUGGCAGACGGGUGAGUAAUGCAUAGGAAUCUACCUAGUAGUAUGGGAUAGCCACUAGAAAUGGUGGGUAAUACUGUAUAAUCCCUGCGGGGGAAAGAUUUAUCGCUAUUAGAUGAGCCUAUGUUAGAUUAGCUAGUUGGUAGGGUAAAGGCCUACCAAGGCAGUGAUCUAUAGCUGGUCUGAGAGGAUGAUCAGCCACACUGGAACUGAGAUACGGUCCAGACUCCUACGGGAGGCAGCAGUGGGGAAUAUUGGACAAUGGGCGCAAGCCUGAUCCAGCUAUGCCGCGUGAGUGAGGAAGGCCUUAGGGUUGUAAAACUCUUUCAGUGGGGAAGAUAAUGACGGUACCCACAGAAGAAGUCCCGGCAAACUCCGUGCCAGCAGCCGCGGUAAUACGGAGGGGGCAAGCGUUGUUCGGAAUUAUUGGGCGUAAAGGGCAUGUAGGCGGUUCGGUAAGUUAAAGGUGAAAUGCCAGGGCUUAACCCUGGAGCUGCUUUAAAUUACUGCA